CCUACGGGUGGCAGCAGUGAGGAAUAUUGGUCAAUGGGCGCGAGCCUGAAGCAGCGAAGCAGCGUGAAGGAUGAAUGCCCUACGGGUUGUAAACUCCUUUUAUAAAGGAGUAAAGUGAGGCACGUGUGCCUCAUUGUAUGGACUUUACGAACAAGGAUCGGCCAACCCCGUGCCAGCAGCCGUGGUAAUCCGGAGGUGGCGGGCGUUAUCCGGAUUUAUUGGGCGUAAAGGGAGCGUAGAGGGGUUGUUAAGUCAGGUGUGAAGGUCUGCGGCUCAACCGCAAAAUUGCAAUUGAUACUGGCAGUCUUGAGUACAGGAGAGGUAAGCGGAAUUCGUGGUGUAGCAGUGAAAUGCGUAGAUAUCGCGAAGAACACCGAUUGCGAAGGCAGCUUACUAGACUGUAACUGACACUGAGGCUCGAAAGUGUGGGUAUCAAACAGGAUUAGAUACCCGAGUAGUC
Molecule: ribosomal RNA, 460 nt
Filed under: uncultured bacterium
Lineage: Bacteria
Description: partial 16S ribosomal RNA
Rfam family: Bacterial small subunit ribosomal RNA
Source: RNAcentral